RNAcentral lists this ribosomal RNA (253 nucleotides) under uncultured prokaryote. Its description in RNAcentral is "partial 16S ribosomal RNA". It matches the Rfam family "Bacterial small subunit ribosomal RNA", at positions 525 to 777 of the family's 1533-position model. The record is from RNAcentral.
ACGGGGGGAGCAAGCGUUGUUCGGAUUUACUGGGCGUAAAGGGCGCGUAGGCGGUAGCACAAGUCAGUUGUGAAGUCUCCGGGCUUGACUCGGAAAGGUCAACUGAUACUGUGCGACUAGAGUGCAGAAGGGGCAACUGGAAUUCUCGGUGUAGCGGUGAAAUGCGUAGAUAUCAAGAGGAACACCUGAGGUGAAGACGGGUUGCUGGGCUGACACUGACGCUGAUGCGCGAAAGCCAGGGGAGCAAACGGGA